This 253-nucleotide ribosomal RNA is filed under the name uncultured bacterium. Its description in RNAcentral is "partial 16S ribosomal RNA". It matches the Rfam family "Bacterial small subunit ribosomal RNA", at positions 524 to 776 of the family's 1533-position model. The record is from RNAcentral.
UACAGAGAGUGCAAACGUUGUUCGGAAUCACUGGGCAUAAAGCGCACGUAGGCGGCGCCACAAGUGCGGGGUGAAAUCCCACGGCUCACCCGUGGAACUGCCUGGUAUACUGUGGUGCUAGAGGAUGGUAGGGGAGAGCGGAACUCCAGGUGGAGCGGUGAAAUGCGUAGAGAUCUGGAGGAACACCGGUGGCGAAGGCGGCUCUCUGGUCCAUGACUGACGCUGAGGUGCGAAAGCUAGGGGAGCAAACGGG